This 466-nucleotide ribosomal RNA is filed under the name uncultured bacterium. Its description in RNAcentral is "partial 16S ribosomal RNA". It matches the Rfam family "Bacterial small subunit ribosomal RNA", at positions 28 to 507 of the family's 1533-position model. The record is from RNAcentral.
GACGAACGCUGGCGGCGCGCCUAACACAUGCAAGUCGAACGAGCGAGAGGAGGUUUACUUUCUCAAGCGAGUGGCGAACGGGUGAGUAACGCGUGAGGAACCUGCCUCAAAGAGGGGGACAACAGUUGGAAACGACUGCUAAUACCGCAUAAGCCCACGACCCGGCAUCGGGUAGAGGGAAAAGGAGCAAUCCGCUUUUAGAUGGCCUCGCGUCCGAUUAGCUAGUUGGUGAGGUAAUGGCCCACCAAGGCGACGAUCGGUAGCCGGACUGAGAGGUUGAACGGCCACAUUGGGACUGAGACACGGCCCAGACUCCUACGGGAGGCAGCAGUGGGGAAUAUUGCACAAUGGGGGAAACCCUGAUGCAGCGACGCCGCGUGGAGGAAGAAGGUCUUCGGAUUGUAAACUCCUGUUGUUGAGGAAGAUAAUGACGGUACUCAACAAGGAAGUGACGGCUAACUACGUG